AUCCAGAGACACGUUCUGCAGCCUCCUGGCUCUGAGCAGUUACCAGCCAGUCGCCUGAGAAGUUUCCACUCCAGAACCAGGAAAAAUGAGAUUUUUGCUCCUUUUAAGUUUCGUGGUAGCAGCUUUAGAAGGUGUUUGGUCCCAGGUCCAGCUGGUGGAGUCCGGAGGGGGUGUGAAAAGCCCCGGAGAGUCUCUCCGUCUCUCCUGCAAAGCCUCCGGGUUCCACUUCAGUGAUUCCUACAUGAGCUGGCUCCGACUGGCACCAGGAAAGGAACUAGAAUGGGUCAGUUAUAUAAACCCCGAUGGGAGCGAGAAACGCUACCGUGAUUCAGUGAAAGGCCGAUUCACAAUCUCCAGGGAUAAUUACAAGAAUGAGCUGUAUCUGCAAAUGUACAACCUGAAACUCGAGGACACUGCCAUCUAUUACUGUGAGAAAGGCACAGGGAAACCCCCUUCUCCCAGCAGCCGCGUGGGGGGAGCAGUGACAGUCACCCCGCUUCAGGCUUAGACAG
Chelonoidis abingdonii (Abingdon island giant tortoise) is the source of this 512-nucleotide non-coding RNA. NCBI's taxonomy places the organism in Eukaryota, Metazoa, Chordata, Testudines, Testudinidae. The record is from the annotation of a RefSeq genome assembly.